This 2854-nucleotide long non-coding RNA is filed under the name Canis lupus familiaris (dog). RNAcentral's name for it is "lncRNA (ENSCAFG00000051482.1, ENSCAFG00805030818.1, ENSCAFG00845005873.1)". The record is from RNAcentral. Lineage: Eukaryota; Metazoa; Chordata; Mammalia; Carnivora; Canidae.
UAGGCUGCAGGAAUCUUGGAAAUGACAACUCUCCAGACUCAGACCUAAGGAUUUCUGCAAUCUUCAGACAGAUGGAAUGUUAUUAUUUGCCAUCGUGAUUUUCUACCCGAUGUUGCUCCUAACCAAGAUAUUCAUCACGUGGCAAAAAAGCGACAAUGGAUUUGGGCCCAUAGAAACCACUACUCUUACCACAAACUCCAUCACUUGGAAACCAGCAGCCUAACUGGAAAGUGGAAUGGCCUUCAGAAGACUCCGUUGUGCUUCUACUCUAAAGACAACACCCUAGGAAGCUGAGGCUCUGUCUGAGGAUGUGCAAUAUGCUCUCACUCGGCAAUCAGUACAAGAAUUUCCCUUCCCACAUCCAUAAGAACAGCACCAGAAAACACGGGCUGGCAGUGGCUUCUCUCUCUCCCUGUUACACCUAAUAACCACCUGCACAAUUUCUGUUUCUUAUCCCCAUGACGUUGAACUCUGCUGAUUUGGAAAUCUCUUUUCCCAGGGGAAAAACACUUCCACUGUGGAACACAGCAAUGGGCCCAUUUAGUUAGUUGAUAAGCCUGGAAAUUUCGGGUUCCUCCUGCCAUUGAACCAACAGGGACAAGAGGUUACUCUACUGCCUGGUGUGAUGGAUCAUGGUUAUCAAAUCAGACUGCUUAGAUUCUGCAAUGAAUGGAUGGACUGGGUCUGAAGCCCAGAGAUGGCUUUCUGGGGACACCUCUUAACUCCCCCAUGUCCAAUAAUAAAAGCCAACGUAAAGCUACCUUAAGCAAAAAAAGGCAGGACCAUUGAAACAUCAGACUGUUGCACAAUUGGACAACACAACCAUCUAAAGAAUAUGGAACAUGACAUGGAUCUCAGAAGAAGGGAAUUGUAAGGUCAGCUAUGACCUGGUGAACAGCAAGGGAAGCAAGGACGGCUGCAAUAAUGUGUAUUUGCUUCUUGCUUAUUACGUGUGUGUGUUUAUAUUUGUAUAUAUUGCUAAUUUUCUCUUUACUGUCUCCACUUUUCCCCUUAGGAUUUCAUGAAAGGAUUGUUGGUGAUGGCUGAUUUCACAAUUUAGUCUUUAGGUCGCAGGAUAGUCAGGUGAGAGUGUGAUUCAACUUGAGGAGUAAUUAAUAUCACCCACAGAUGAGCGCUGUGACUGUCACUCCAGGGCUGGAAACAAUGAAUGUUAGGAUGGUGUCUCCUCUUUUGAGACAGUUCCACGCCCACUCUUCCAUGCUCUGCUCCUUGAUGCCAGGCUCAAUCUGAACAUUUCUUUUCUCACUUGCCAGCUGGCUCUCUGCCAUUUGAGGGUAACUAGCAGGAGAGCUGAGGCAAGAGAAGGAGAGAAGGAACUUGAAUCCCUUCCUUCUUGCUUGCAUCCAUUCCUGUCUAUAUAACCCCAGCAAAGGCUGUUGACCUUGGCAGUGGCAGCUGGCUCUGGAGGACGUUGGUUCCUGUUUCCAACUUCCUUUGGCAGCCUCAGAACCAGUCUCAUUGCAUCCUCUUGGAGGUGCUAGCACCAGCUGGGCAGUGCCCCUUCUUAAGGGUCAGAGUCUCAGCUGCGUGAGACUCUCCUCUGAGAGCUUGAGAUGCAACUAGCAGCCAACCCCAGCACACUCGGCCCAGAAGUCUAAGUGACAGCUCUGCAGAGAACCUCCUUUGAGCUCUGGAGAUGCUAGCACUGGCAUGGAAGCACCCCCUCCGGAGAGGUCUGAGUCCCUAGGGUACACCUCCUCCGAAAACAUCUCUUUCCCUCCUCCCAUAGCCCUGGGGUGACAGAUGUUUCCAAAAGCUACUACCUCUGUGUGUCCUCAGAGUUUCUGUCCUUUCUUUUUGGUCCUCCAGGACCUGUUGAACAAUCCCCUAUGUACUUCUCUUGCUCUGAUAAUCAGUGUGCUUUCUGCCUUUAUAACUGGGUCCCAGUGGAUACAGCCAUAGCAGGUCAAUAUGGUCAAUCCCAUGUCUAGUGCUUGGGGAAAAAAAGAAGGAAGAUUGUGCUCAGAUUCUUUAUAAAAACUUUUAAAUUUAAUUUACUUGAGAGAGGGACAGAACAUGAACAGGGGGAGGAGCAGAAGAUUCCCCACUGAAUAAGGAGCCUGACAUGGGGCUCAAUUCUAGGACCCCUGAGAUCAUGGCCUGAGCCAAAGUCAGAUGCUUAACUGAUGGAGGCCACCCAGGUGCCCCACAAAAACUUUUUUUUAAUUAUCAAAUAGUUUGUGAAAAAUUAUUCAGGGGAGUAACAUCUGGAGGAAGAAACCUGUAAAACGUUCAUGAGCCACAUAAAAUAGAACUAAUGGAGAUGUCUACUGUUAGAGGAAGCAAGUCCUAAUAUUAUAAAGAUAUCAAGCAAUAAUUGUCCGUAUAAAUCUACAAAUGGAGGGGCACCUGGAUGGCUCAGUCAGUUAAGCAUCUGAUUCUUGAUUUUUGGCUCAGGUCAUGAUCUCGAGGUCCUGAGAUAGAGCCCCAUGUCCCGCUCCACACUCAGCAAGGAGUCUUAAGGACUCUCUUCCUAUCCCUCUGUUCCUCCCUCUGCUCGCGUGCUCUUUCUCUAAAAUAAAUAAAUCUCUAAAAAAAAUCUACAAAUGUAAUGAAAUUCCGUUCAAUUUCCCUCAGGGAUUUUUUUUUAAAAGCAUAACCAAAUAAGCCUAAAGUUUAUCAGGAGGAAUGAAUUAUCAAUAGUCAACAAAGUAUUGAAAAGAAGGGUAACCUGCAUGUCAGUUAGUAAAGUAAAUUACAAAAAUACAUCUAUCAAAAUAGUGUAAACUGGUUCCACAUCCAGGAAUAGUGAAUGACUUUCAUUGAUUUCAUUGAUACUUUGAUACACUGAUUUCAUUGAUACUGCCUUCAGAUAGUAAUUAUACACCCCGAA